AGCAGCCACGGUAAUUCCAGCUCCAAUAGCGUAUAUUAAAGUUGUUGCAGUUAAAAAGCUCAUAGUUGAAUUUCGGGAUCAAUACGUCAGUCGUGCCUUUGGUACAUACUAAUGUCAUUGAUUUCUCUCUUCUGAUGAAUCAUGAUGUCAUUAAUUUGAUGUUGUGGGGAGUCAGAACUGUUACUUUGAAAAAAUUAGAGUGUUUAAAGCAGGCACGCGCUUGAAUACAUUAGCAUAGAAUAAUGAAAUAGGACGUUAGAUUCUAUUUUUGUUGGUUUCUAGGAUCAACGUAAUGAUUAAUAGGAAUAGUUGGGGGCAUUAGUAUUCAAUUGUCAGAGGUGAAAUUCUUGGAUUUAUUGAAGACUAACUACUGCGAAAGCAUUUGCCAAGGAUGUUUUUC
This 400-nucleotide ribosomal RNA is filed under the name uncultured Glomeromycotina. RNAcentral's name for it is "bacterial SSU rRNA". It matches the Rfam family "Eukaryotic small subunit ribosomal RNA", at positions 569 to 972 of the family's 1831-position model. The record is from RNAcentral. Lineage: Eukaryota; Fungi; Glomeromycota.